CGUGGAGACAGGUGGUGCAUGGCUGUCGUCAGCUCGUGUCGUGAGAUGUUGGGUUAAGUCCCGCAACGAGCGCAACCCUCACCCCUUGUUGCCAUCAGGUCACGCUGGGCACUCUAGGGGAACUGCCCCGGUCAACGGGGAGGAAGGUGGGGACGACGUCAAGUCAUCAUGCCCCUUACGCCCUGGGCUACACACGUGCUACAAUGGCCGGUACAAAGGGAUGCAAGACCGUGAGGUGGAGCUAAACCCAAAAAGCCGGUCUAAGUUCAGAUUGGAGUCUGCAACUCGACUCCAUGAAGGAGGAAUCGCUAGUAAUCGCGCAUCAGCACGGCGCGGUGAAUACGUUCCCGGGCCUUGUACACACCGCCCGUCACACCACGAAAGCCAGCUGUACUCGAAGUCGCUGAG
Molecule: ribosomal RNA, 408 nt
Filed under: uncultured Methylomirabilota bacterium
Lineage: Bacteria; Methylomirabilota (SeqCode)
Description: bacterial SSU rRNA
Rfam family: Bacterial small subunit ribosomal RNA
Source: RNAcentral